This 709-nucleotide ribosomal RNA is filed under the name uncultured bacterium. RNAcentral's name for it is "bacterial SSU rRNA". It matches the Rfam family "Bacterial small subunit ribosomal RNA", at positions 777 to 1500 of the family's 1533-position model. The record is from RNAcentral.
AUUAGAUACCCUGGGUAGUCCACGCAGUAAACGAUGAAUACUAAUUGUCCGGGCAGAGAGAUGCCUGGGUGAUACAGCGAAAGCGUUAAGUAUUCCACCUGGGGAGUACGCCGGCAACGGUGAAACUCAAAGGAAUUGACGGGGGCCCGCACAAGCGGAGGAACAUGUGGUUUAAUUCGAUGAUACGCGAGGAACCUUACCCGGGCUCAAACGACACAGGAAUACUUUUGAAAGGAGGUAGCCAGCAAUGGUCUGUGUCGAGGUGCUGCAUGGUUGUCGUCAGCUCGUGCCGUGAGGUGUCGGCUUAAGUGCCAUAACGAGCGCAACCCCUACCGCCAGUUGCCAGCAGGUAAAGCUGGGGACUCUGGCGGGACUGCCGGCGCAAGCUGCGAGGAAGGCGGGGAUGACGUCAAAUCAGCACGGCCCUUACGUCCGGGGCGACACACGUGUUACAAUGGGUGGCACAGCGGGAAGCCAGGCGGCGACGCCGAGCGGAACCCGAAACCCACUCUCAGUUCGGAUCGGAGUCUGCAACCCGACUCCGUGAAGCUGGAUUCGCUAGUAAUCGCGCAUCAGCCAUGGCGCGGUGAAUACGUUCCCGGGCCUUGUACACACCGCCCGUCAAGCCAUGGGAGUCGAGGGCGCUUGAAGUACGGAGAACCCGUCCUAGAGCGAAAUCGGUGACUGGGCUAAGUCGUAACAAGGUACC